GGGAUCUGUGAUGACCACUGGAGGUGUAUGAGUCCUGGAUCCAUGACUACAGGCCUGGAAAUCUGAGGUCCAC
Small nucleolar RNA from Dipodomys ordii (Ord's kangaroo rat), 73 nucleotides. The record is from Ensembl. NCBI's taxonomy places the organism in Eukaryota, Metazoa, Chordata, Mammalia, Rodentia, Heteromyidae.